Molecule: non-coding RNA, 30 nt
Filed under: Rattus norvegicus (Norway rat)
Lineage: Eukaryota; Metazoa; Chordata; Mammalia; Rodentia; Muridae
Source: RNAcentral
UGUAACUACAGAUACAGGGGAUCUGAUGCC